This 273-nucleotide ribosomal RNA is filed under the name uncultured bacterium. RNAcentral's name for it is "partial 16S ribosomal RNA". It matches the Rfam family "Bacterial small subunit ribosomal RNA", at positions 81 to 353 of the family's 1533-position model. The record is from RNAcentral.
AAGUUCGAUGGCGACCGGCGCACGGGUGAGUAACACGUAUCCAACCUGCCGAUGACUCGGGGAUAGCCUUUCGAAAGAAAGAUUAAUACCCGAUGGCAUAGUUCUUCCGCAUGGUGGAACUAUUAAAGAAUUUCGGUCAUCGAUGGGGAUGCGUUCCAUUAGGUUGUUGGCGGGGUAACGGCCCACCAAGCCUUCGAUGGAUAGGGGUUCUGAGAGGAAGGUCCCCCACAUUGGAACUGAGACACGGUCCAAACUCCUACGGGAGGCAGCAUG